Molecule: ribosomal RNA, 425 nt
Filed under: uncultured prokaryote
Description: bacterial SSU rRNA
Rfam family: Bacterial small subunit ribosomal RNA
Source: RNAcentral
UGGGGAAUUUUCCGCAAUGGGGGCAACCCUGACGGAGCAACGCCGCGUGGGGGAUGAAGGCCUUCGGGUUGUAAACCCCUUUCAGGAGGGAAGAAAUUGACGGUACCUCCAGAAGAAGCCCCGGCCAACUACGUGCCAGCAGCCGCGGUAAUACGUAGGGGGCAAGCGUUGUCCGGAAUUAUUGGGCGUAAAGAGCUCGUAGGCGGCUCAGCAAGUCGGCUGUGAAAUCCCGAGGCUCAACCUCGGAACUGCAGUCGAUACUGCUGUGGCUAGAGUCUGGUAGAGGAGAAUGGAAUUCCCAGUGUAGCGGUGAAAUGCGCAGAUAUUGGGAGGAACACCAGUAGCGAAGGCGGUUCUCUGGGCCAGCACUGACGCUGAGGAGCGAAAGCGUGGGUAGCAAACAGGAUUAGAUACCCCUGUAGUCC